GUCAAUAUGAGAAGCUACAGACUGAUAGGAGGAACCAAAGAGCUCUGUAAAGAUCCAGAUCCUGGAUUCUGAUGCCAACUGGACCAGCCUGGCGAGCUAAACCAUACAUCGAAUUGAGAGAAACAUCACAUCCUGUCAACUCCUUCCAGUCUGGAACAAGGUAUUCAAGCCCAAAGUCACACUUUCACCUUCACUCUGGACUGGACCAAUUGGAUAUUUUUCCAUCAUCUCUCUUACCUCCACCAAGGAGCUGAACUGUUAAGUGUUUUAGAUAAAGGAAAAAAAAAAAAAUCAUAUUUCAUGGACUAUUUGAAAAACUUGUUUGUAUAUAUUAUUGUAAAUGUUGUUUAAUACAUUCACUAAUUUAGUUAUUUAGUUGUGUGUGUUUUUACAAAUUGCCACUCCCUCCAGCAGUCGAACCAAUGAUUUUUCUGAUCUGAUUUAUUAUUAAUUAUUAAUUAUUAUUAAAGAACUGACAGACUUUUUAUUACUCAAAAAUACAACAUCUAGAAUUCAACAACACAGGUCUCAAUUAUAUCAAUUCUGUGUGGAAAAUCAGAAAGAUCCAUUUGGAUAGAGCUGAUUUUUUUCCAUUCAUUAUGCGUUUCACAUUCAUAAAAGAUGUAUGAUAGGUUUAUUUUUUUAAAAAAACAAUACAAUAUGGUAAGGGUGGCAAACUUGUAAUUUUUU
Xiphophorus couchianus (Monterrey platyfish) is the source of this 690-nucleotide long non-coding RNA. RefSeq lists it as uncharacterized. The transcript is spliced from 2 exons. The record is from RefSeq and is a predicted model, not a curated record. Lineage: Eukaryota; Metazoa; Chordata; Actinopteri; Cyprinodontiformes; Poeciliidae.